UGUCUUCCUGACCAGCUGCUCUGUUCCCAGCUUAGAGGACCAGAGGGAGAAGCCACCUGCUACACGCUGGAUGCUGCAGCCUGUGCCACUGUGGCUCACAUCGCUGUGGUUGGUGGCAGCAACGGAGACUGCAGCCAGCUGGAGUGCUGUGAUGACAGUGCUUAUCAAUCCUGUCCCCGCCACACCACCAACAUACACAGAAAAAAAGCAGGCAAUGAGUUGGCUCCGGGAUGACCUCGUAUGAAGACGUUUCAUUCCUUAGUCUUGGCAAUUGACAUCACAAACUUGGGUACAAGCUACAAAAUUAAGGGAACCCAGUCGCUGCCUUACCUGGAGGGACGUCUGAGUGGCUGGGUGGAUGACA
RNAcentral lists this long non-coding RNA (364 nucleotides) under Homo sapiens (human). RNAcentral's name for it is "HSALNT0372184". Lineage: Eukaryota; Metazoa; Chordata; Mammalia; Primates; Hominidae. The record is from RNAcentral.